CCUACGGGAGGCAGCAGUGGGGAAUAUUGGACAAUGGGCGAAAGCCUGAUCCAGCCAUGCCGCGUGUGUGAAGAAGGUCUUCGGAUUGUAAAGCACUUUAAGUUGGGAGGAAGGGCAGUAAAUUAAUACUUUGCUGUUUUGACGUUACCGACAGAAUAAGCACCGGCUAACUCUGUGCCAGCAGCCGCGGUAAUACAGAGGGUGCAAGCGUUAAUCGGAAUUACUGGGCGUAAAGCGCGCGUAGGUGGUUAGUUAAGUUGGAUGUGAAAUCCCCGGGCUCAACCUGGGAACUGCAUUCAAAACUGACUGACUAGAGUAUGGUAGAGGGUGGUGGAAUUUCCUGUGUAGCGGUGAAAUGCGUAGAUAUAGGAAGGAACACCAGUGGCGAAGGCGACCACCUGGACUGAUACUGACACUGAGGUGCGAAAGCGUGGGGAGCAAACAGGAUUAGAUACCCGAGUAGUC
RNAcentral lists this ribosomal RNA (465 nucleotides) under uncultured Pseudomonas sp. Its description in RNAcentral is "bacterial SSU rRNA". It matches the Rfam family "Bacterial small subunit ribosomal RNA", at positions 338 to 795 of the family's 1533-position model. The record is from RNAcentral. Lineage: Bacteria; Pseudomonadati; Pseudomonadota; Gammaproteobacteria; Pseudomonadales; Pseudomonadaceae.